This 253-nucleotide ribosomal RNA is filed under the name uncultured bacterium. RNAcentral's name for it is "partial 16S ribosomal RNA". It matches the Rfam family "Bacterial small subunit ribosomal RNA", at positions 524 to 776 of the family's 1533-position model. The record is from RNAcentral.
UACGUAGGUGGCAAGCGUUGUCCGGAUUUAUUGGGUUUAAAGGGUGCGUAGGCGGUCUUUUAAGUCAGUGCUGAAAUAUCCCAGCUUAACUGGGAGGGUGGCAUUGAUACUGCGGGGCUAGAGUACAGAUGAGGUAGGCGGAAUUGACGGUGUAGCGGUGAAAUGCUUAGAUAUCGUCAAGAACACCUAUAGCGAAGGCAGCUUACUAGGCUGUAACUGACGCUGAGGCACGAAAGUGUGGGGAUCAAACAGG